CAUAGAAGACAAGCACGGAAACCAUCAGCAGACCAGCGACCCCUCAUCUCCUAAAACAACCCUAUGUCCGCUAGUGACCCUACUCGCCGGAAAAUGCAUCAACCCCAGCCACCGACCUUUCUUAACUCCAAAAAAGCAUAGUCGACCACCUCCUUCAACCCAUUGUCACAACAGCAAUAGAAACCAGUGCCGCCUCCCAAAAUCAGCAUCCGUCACUCUCUUCUUCUUCACAACAAGAAGCGUUGCUGCUGCUGCUUCACCUCUCACUCACGACAAACUCAGCCUCCAAAGUCGCUAAAAAAACCAAGCUCACCAUUCAUCUCCACCUCCAGCCACCUCGCCACUUAACCAGACCACCCCACGCAACGAGGUUCAGUACGGGUAUGGAGAGAAAAAAGAAGAUGAAAACAGAGGGGAACAAACAUAGGGGAACGACCGGGUUUCAAAUUUUGCCUUCCAAAAAUGGAAUUUGUUUGAGGUGGUUUGAGGUCUAUUUGAGGUGUUGUUCGGGUUUCCAUUGUUGCGCAUGAUUUGUAAUCCGCGUUUCGCUUCCAAUUAGCUCAAGGAUUUGAGGUUCAAUCUUUUAAUACUUUCUUAUUCCCUUUUCGGUAAUGUUGUUUUUUUGCUUCUUCUGUUUUGUGCCUCGUGUGAUAAAGUUUAUAUUUACCAUUAUAAAUGUGCAUAAAUACUUGUCCAUUGAUUGUUAAUUUAGUAUGUUGACGUAGAAAUGCCAGUUGUUGGGAAUUCUUAAAGAAAGCUAUUUGAUGGACUUGAUUUAAGAAAACUUGUGUGGUUGGUGUUGAGUCGGUUACAAAUUACGUGAGAAAGAAAUGGGUUAUGCGAGUUGGCUUUAAAAAAGUGAAGGAAAUUAGCCUUAGGAUGAUCUUGAUGCUUUUAUUCUACUUGUUUAUUAAUUAGAUUGCUAAUAACAUGCCUAGGGCGAUCACACAUGGGUAGUCAAGCUUUAGGAUCUUUGUUUGGAUUUCGAGGCGAGAGGUCGUUCACUUUAGCUAAAUUUAUUUGGGAAAUACCCUGAAGGAUUUGUACAUAUUUUAUUCCAAUAAAUUGCCGAAGUAUUUUGUAAUUGGAGGCCAUGACGAAUUCAUGAGAGGAAGUAUAGUAUAGGCUAGCAUAGAAUUUUACUUUUUGUUUUUUUAUUAGGUGGGGACGGCCUCAAACCUCUUUUUGAUGCUUUUCCUUUGUGUGUUUUACCUCAAUUUUAAUAUCGUAAAAUCUAACUUGAUCGAAUAUGCAACCGUGGUCUUCACGGGACUUGGGGAGUGCCUAACACCUUCUCCCCGAGUCAAAUGAACCCCCUUACCCGAAUCUCUGGUGCGGACAUGGUCUUAGAGUCCAAAACGUUUUAAAAAGAAAAAUCAUUUUAAGAAAAACGAUGACCUGGCACACUGAUAUCAAUGUCAGGUCGCGACUCUCAGUUACUUGUUUUUGAACAAAUUUUUGUAACAUUCUAAUUUCAAACCCUUUUGUCUUUUACAUUUUUUUUUAUUAAUUUAAGAGGGUGUGACAUCUCUAGCGACUUUGCUGAUCUUGAGCUAGUACUUGAUCUUGUUGACUUUUAGGAUAUUAGGUUGAGGUUUUUAUGUGUUUUGUUUGCUUUAUUCGAUUUUAUUUUGCUUAUAUCUUUUAUUAUUUUAUAGCUGCUUAUUUGUUUACGGUUUUUAUGAUUCUAUCUCAAUUUGAAUGUUUUAAAAGUCAACUAGAUCAAGUACACACCCGUACUAGUUACAGUACAAGGGGAGUUCCUAGAACCUUUUCCCCGAGUCAACUGAACCCCCUUAUCCAAAUCUCCGAUGCAGACUUUAUUUGGAGCCCAAAGUGUUUUAAAGGAAUCUUUUAAAUGUUGAUCUGGCACUCCGAAAUCAAUGGAAGGUGGCGACUCUGAGUUGUUUCCUUUUGAACACAAAUUUUUGUAACUUUCUAAUUGAAAAACUCUUUCGAGAUUUUACUAAAUUCCAUUUAUAAAUAUUAAGAGGGUUAGUUAGGUUUGUUAAAAAAAAGGGGUGUGACAUCUAUCCAAAGGAAUCAAUUUAAAAUGCCCCAAUUAGAAAUUGCUGAGGUAUGAUUGCCCCAACUUGGGGAUGGACUGGUUAUCACCUUACCAUUCUAUCUUGGAUUUUCAUGCCAAGACUGUGAUCUUAGCUUUACCGGGUUUGCCUUGUAUAAAGUGGAGAUGAACUCCUGGUCUUUCCACCCGGGGUGUUAUUUUGUACGCCGAGGCUCGACGUAUGGUCGAGAAUAGGUGUCUGGCCUAUUUGGUUUAUGUUCGUGAUUGGAGUGCUAAAGUCCCUUCUAUUGAUUCUGUGUCCAUUGUUCGAGAGGUUCCGGAGGUUUCGAUUCAGAUCUGCCGGGGAUGCCGCCCGACAGGGAUAUUAACUUAUGCAUAGAUUUGGCUCCGGGCACCAUGCCCAAUUCUUUUCUGCCAUUCAUAUGGCCCUUCCUGGGUUGAAAGAAUAAAAGGAACAUUUGAAGGAUUGGCUUGAGAAGAGUUUCAUUAGACCUUGUAUUUUGCCUUGGGGUGCACCAGUUCUGUUUUUGAAGAAAAGGAUGGUUCAAUGAGAAUGUGCAUUGAUUAGAACCAAUUAGACAAGGUUUGAAUCAAUAAUAAUUAUCCACCGAGGAUUGAUGAUUUAUUUGAUAAAAUCUAGGGUGACAAGGUAUUUUCAAAGAUGGACUUGAGAUCCGGCUACCAUUCAGUUGAGGAUUAGGGCAUCCGAUAUCCCUAAUAUAGUUUUUCGCACUCGGUACGGGCAUUAUGAGUUCUUGGUUAUGUUAUUGGGGUUGGCAAAUGCCCAUAAGGUUUUAUGGAUUUGAUGAGUCGAGAGUUCUGGAUUUAACUGGAUUUGUUCGUGAUAGUCUUUAUUGAUGAUAUUUGGAUAUAUUCUCGCAGCUGGGAUGAGCACGAGCAACAUCUCAAAGUGGUUCUUUAGAAUUUGAGGGAUAGUCAAUUAUAUGCUAAGUUGUUUAGGUGGGAGUUUGGUUUGAGUUCAGUUGCAUUUCUGGGUCAUGCCGUAUCAGAAGAGGGUAUUCAAGUUGAUUCGAAGAAGAUCGAGGCAGUCAAGAACUGGACCAAUCCAGCAACAACUACAAAGAUUUGAAGUUUCUUGGGAUUGGCAGGAUACUAUCAUCGGUUCGUGAGGGCUUCUCUUCUAUUGCAGCCUCGAUGAUCAGGUUGACCUGGAAGGGUGCCUACUUAAGAUGGUCGGAUGAGUGUGAGGCGAGUUUUCAGAAGCUCUAGAAUGUUUUGACUACGACACCAGUGGUGGUUUUACCUACAGGUUCGGGGCCUUAUACAGUCUAUUGUGAUGUAUCUCGUAUUGGACUUGGUGAAGUGUUGAUGCGGGAUGGUAAGAUCGUUGCCAAUGUUUCAUGGCAGCCUAAGAUUCGUGAGAAGAACUAUCCGGUCCAUGAUUUGGAUUUAGUAGC
Molecule: long non-coding RNA, 3444 nt
Filed under: Nicotiana benthamiana
Lineage: Eukaryota; Viridiplantae; Streptophyta; Magnoliopsida; Solanales; Solanaceae
Description: long non-coding RNA (NBEN_LNC036103)
Source: RNAcentral